GUACACGCUGUGACUAGCAUAUCAAUAAGCGGAGGAAAAGAAACUAACAAGGAUUCCCCUAGUAACGGCGAGUGAAGCGGGAAGAGCUCAAAUUUGAAAUCUUAAAGGGUUUCCCUUUACGAAUUGUAGUUUAAAGAAGUGUUUUCUGUUGAGGUUUUGGUAAAAGUUCUUUGGAAUAGGACAUCAUAGAGGGUGAGAAUCCCGUAUUUGACCUUUACUUUCAACUUUGUGAUACACUUUCAAAGAGUCGGAUUAUUUGGGAAUGCAGUCCAAAAUGGGUGGUAAAUUUCAUCUAAAGCUAAAUAUUGGCGAGAGACCGAUAGCGAACAAGUACCGUGAGGGAAAGAUGAAAAGAACUUUGAAAAGAGAGUUAAACAGUACGUGAAAUUGUCAAAAGGGAAGCGUUUGACACCAGUGUUGUUUUUCUGAAAAUCAAUUAAAGAACUGUUUAUGCUAAGCUGUUUAGACUUUAUCAGCUAACUGUUUAGUUUUGAGCUUUUCUUUAAUGCACUUUUCAGUUAACAAGUCAACAUCAAUUUCUUUUGCUGUAAAAAAGCUUGAGGAAGGUGGCUUGAGAUUCGUCUUAAGUGUUUAUAGCCUCUUGCCUAUGCAGUCGGAGAGAUUGAGGUCUGCAGCGUAGAUCCUUCGGGGCUAAAUGCAUUUGUGCUAAGUUAUAAGCAUUUUAUAGACAACUUGUUGACUAUGAUUUGUCUUGUAGCUUACUCGCUUAUGUUAUUUUACCUACGCUUAGGAUGUUGAAGUCAUCGUAUCGCGC
Molecule: ribosomal RNA, 775 nt
Filed under: uncultured Neocallimastigales
Lineage: Eukaryota; Fungi; Neocallimastigomycota; Neocallimastigomycetes; Neocallimastigales
Description: partial large subunit ribosomal RNA
Rfam family: Eukaryotic large subunit ribosomal RNA
Source: RNAcentral